Molecule: ribosomal RNA, 463 nt
Filed under: uncultured bacterium
Lineage: Bacteria
Description: partial 16S ribosomal RNA
Rfam family: Bacterial small subunit ribosomal RNA
Source: RNAcentral
ACGAACGCUGGCGGCGUGCCUCACACAUGCAAGUCGAGCGAAUGAAGUUCCUUCGGGAAUGGAUUUAGCGGCGGACGGGUGAGUAACACGUGGGCAACCUGCCUCAUAGAGGGGAAUAGCCUUCCGAAAGGGAGAUUAAUACCGCAUAAGAUUGUAGUAUCGCAUGAUACAGCAAUUAAAGGAGCAAUCCGCUAUGAGAUGGGCCCGCGGCGCAUUAGCUAGUUGGUGAGGUAACGGCCCACCAAGGCGACGAUGCGUAGCCGACCUGAGAGGGUGAUCGGCCACAUUGGGACUGAGACACGGCCCAGACUCCUACGGGAGGCAGCAGUGGGGAAUAUUGCACAAUGGGGGAAACCCUGAUGCAGCAACGCCGCGUGAGUGAUGACGGCCUUCGGGUUGUAAAGCUCUGUCUUCAGGGACGAUAAUGACGGUACCUGAGGAGGAAGCCACGGCUAACUACGUG